AGGCAACCUGCCCUCAAGUUUGGGACAACUACCGGAAACGGUAGCUAAUACCGAAUAGUUGUUUUCUUCGCCUGAAGAGAACUGGAAAGACGGAGCAAUCUGUCACUUGGGGAUGGGCCUGCGGCGCAUUAGCUAGUUGGUGAGGUAACGGCUCACCAAGGCGACGAUGCGUAGCCGACCUGAGAGGGUGAUCGGCCACACUGGGACUGAGACACGGCCCAGACUCCUACGGGAGGCAGCAGUAGGGAAUCUUCCGCAAUGGGCGAAAGCCUGACGGAGCAAUGCCGCGUGAGUGAUGAAGGUUUUCGGAUCGUAAAGCUCUGUUGCCAGGGAAGAACGCUUGGGAGAGUAACUGCUCUCAAGGUGACGGUACCUGAGAAGAAAGCCCCGGCUAACUACGUGCCAGCAGCCGCGGUAAUACGUAGGGGGCAAGCGUUGUCCGGAAUUAUUGGGCGUAAAGCGCGCGCAGGCGGUCAUUUAAGUCUGGUGUUUAAUCCCGGGGCUCAACCCCGGAUCGCACUGGAAACUGGGUGACUUGAGUGCAGAAGAGGAGAGUGGAAUUCCACGU
Molecule: ribosomal RNA, 568 nt
Filed under: uncultured bacterium
Lineage: Bacteria
Description: bacterial SSU rRNA
Rfam family: Bacterial small subunit ribosomal RNA
Source: RNAcentral